AGGAACUAAACACUUUAUACGCAUAUGAAUUAACUUUAAUUAUUUACACCAAUAAUUUGCAUUUAUUGCGCGGAAUGAACAAACUCACUCUUGUUCAAAAAUACAUAUUUUCGUGCAUUCAAAAAUCUCAAACUCGUCAGAUUAAGAAUUUUCCGAGGAGAAUGUACCCAAGCCAAACACUCGCUCUUACGCGACUAUAUAAACCGAGCAGUUUAUAACCGACAAACACUCAUUGUCAGUGCAACAUAUAAGGGAGCAUCAAUAGAGCAAGUUUAACAGUGCAAGAAAUUGUUAUAAGCACACGAUAAUACAUAUCCAAAGGUGACAGUAUACGCGAGACCAUACUUUGUUAUGCAUUUGGGAAUAUUUGGGAAAUAUUGUUCCAAGUUAGCCCUACCAGCGCAAUUUAAACGAAACUAUUGACACGCUUCAAUAUCGUGUAAAAGAUAUAACGUGAAAUGAAACAGCGAUUUGUCAGUGUGCCGAAUCGGGGUUCGAGCAUUUAGAGAGGCAAGUAGUUCAGCGCUACCCCCAACGGCACAGUGGGGUUCUUUGGAACCACUGGAUCUGAAUCAUAAAGGACGCUAGACUAUAAGAACCUAUCUCCUUUCGGAUGAGGCUGCAGUUCAACGACUUGAUACAC
Frieseomelitta varia is the source of this 643-nucleotide long non-coding RNA. RefSeq lists it as uncharacterized. NCBI's taxonomy places the organism in Eukaryota, Metazoa, Arthropoda, Insecta, Hymenoptera, Apidae. The transcript is spliced from 3 exons. The record is from RefSeq and is a predicted model, not a curated record.